UUGCUUUAGCAGCACAUAUACUAAAAUUAGAAUGAUACAGAGAAGAUGAGAAUGGCCCCUGCACAAGGAUGGCACACAAAUUCUUGAAGUGUUCCAUAUUUUU
This is a small nuclear RNA of Mustela putorius furo (domestic ferret), 103 nucleotides long. Lineage: Eukaryota; Metazoa; Chordata; Mammalia; Carnivora; Mustelidae. The record is from Ensembl.